AAGUUUUAGUCUACCCCUCUGAUUUCUUAAACGGCCCCUAUAAUGUUGACAACAUUGGCGCUUAUCUCAUAGUUCUGGACCUACAGGUAAAAUUCUCCCCAAAACAGACAGUGGGAAUUUUAGGUUUGUUUUUUAUACUUUCAACACAUUUUGCAACGCCCACUUUUAGCUCCAAAAUGUGGGAGGGGCUGCAUCUUCCUGCUGAAGACUGGAGGCCAUUUCACAUUGCGUAGUUGUGGCAACCCAAACUAAAGAAGCAUACAUACAUUUCCAAAGAUUGGGACUAUGAGGAAAGUAUGAACCUCUCCUGUCAAAUUGACUAAGGCAAAAUGGGGCAGACCAAGCAAGAGUGUCAUUUGCAUCCAUCGUCAGACUUUAGAUGGCAAAAUGGUCCAGAAAAUCAGGAGCACUCUCAAUGGGAGUAGAAAUUGAGUCAGAACCUGCAAAAUAAAACAGAAUAAAGAACAUACACUUUGCUCAAAAAUUAGAGAUAAAGAAGGUAA
Nerophis ophidion (straightnose pipefish) is the source of this 503-nucleotide long non-coding RNA. RefSeq lists it as uncharacterized. The record is from RefSeq and is a predicted model, not a curated record. NCBI's taxonomy places the organism in Eukaryota, Metazoa, Chordata, Actinopteri, Syngnathiformes, Syngnathidae. The transcript has 2 exons.